AAUUUUGGACAAUGGGGGAAACCCUGAUCCAGCCAUCCCGCGUGUAUGAUGAAGGCCUUCGGGUUGUAAAGUACUUUUGGCAGAGAAGAAAAGGUAUCUCCUAAUCCGAGAUACUGCUGACGGUAUUUCCAGAAUAAGCACGGGUCACCUACUUGCCACAUGCCGCGGUAAUACGUAGGGUGCAAGCGUUAAUCGGAAUUACUGGGCGUAAAGCGUGUGUAGGCGGUUCGGAAAGAAAGAUGUGAAAUCCCAGGGCUCAACCUUGGAACUGCAUUUUUAACUGCCGAGCUAGAGUAUGUCAGAGGGGGGUAGAAUUCCACGUGUAGCAGUGAAAUGCGUAGAUAUGUGGAGGAAUGCCGAUGGCGAAGGCAGCCCCCUGGGAUAAUACUGACGCUCAGACACGAAAGCGUGGGGAGCAAACA
RNAcentral lists this ribosomal RNA (422 nucleotides) under uncultured bacterium. RNAcentral's name for it is "partial 16S ribosomal RNA". It matches the Rfam family "Bacterial small subunit ribosomal RNA", at positions 360 to 774 of the family's 1533-position model. The record is from RNAcentral.